Molecule: transfer RNA, 71 nt
Filed under: Urocitellus parryii (Arctic ground squirrel)
Lineage: Eukaryota; Metazoa; Chordata; Mammalia; Rodentia; Sciuridae
Also listed under: 2 other names
Description: Spermophilus parryii (Arctic ground squirrel) tRNA
Rfam family: tRNA
About the family: Transfer RNA (tRNA) molecules are approximately 80 nucleotides in length. Their secondary structure includes four short double-helical elements and three loops (D, anti-codon, and T loops).
Source: Rfam by way of RNAcentral
GGUGGUAUGACUCUGUGGUAGAGUGUUUGCCUAGCAUGCAUAAAACCUGAGUUCAAUUCCCUAUAGCACAA